This 497-nucleotide ribosomal RNA is filed under the name uncultured bacterium. RNAcentral's name for it is "bacterial SSU rRNA". It matches the Rfam family "Bacterial small subunit ribosomal RNA", at positions 24 to 518 of the family's 1533-position model. The record is from RNAcentral.
UCAGGACGAACGCUGGCGGCGUGCCUAAUACAUGCAAGUCGAACGGUCUUUUCUAUGGAAGCUUGCUUCCACUGAGAAGAUAGUGGCGAACGGGUGAGUAACACGUGGGUAACCUGCCCAUAAGAGGGGGAUAACAUCCGGAAACGGGUGCUAAUACCGCAUAGUUUUCUUGAUCGCAUGAUCGGGAAAGGAAAGACGGCCUUUGUGCUGUCGCUUAUGGAUGGACCCGCGGCGUAUUAGUUAGUUGGUGAGGUAACGGCUCACCAAGACGAUGAUACGUAGCCGACCUGAGAGGGUGAUCGGCCACAUUGGGACUGAGACACGGCCCAAACUCCUACGGGAGGCAGCAGUAGGGAAUCUUCCGCAAUGGAGGAAACCCUGAUGCAGCAAACGCCGCGUGAGUGAUGACGGCCUUCGGAUUGUAAAGCUCUGUCUUCAGGGACGAUAAUGACGGUACCUGAGGAGGAAGCCACGGCUAACUACGUGCCAGCAGCUGC